UACGAAGGGGGCUAGCGUUGUUCGGAAUUACUGGGCGUAAAGCGCACGUAGGCGGACAUUUAAGUCAGGGGUGAAAUCCCAGAGCUCAACUCUGGAACUGCCUUUGAUACUGGGUGUCUUGAGUAUGGAAGAGGUGAGUGGAAUUCCGAGUGUAGAGGUGAAAUGCGUAGAUAUCGAGAGGAACACCAGUGGCGAAGGCGAGUCUCUGGACAUUUCCUGACGCUGAGGCACGAAAGCCAGGGGAGCAAACGGG
RNAcentral lists this ribosomal RNA (253 nucleotides) under uncultured bacterium. RNAcentral's name for it is "partial 16S ribosomal RNA". It matches the Rfam family "Bacterial small subunit ribosomal RNA", at positions 524 to 776 of the family's 1533-position model. The record is from RNAcentral.